This 243-nucleotide ribosomal RNA is filed under the name Escherichia coli. Its description in RNAcentral is "partial 23S ribosomal RNA". It matches the Rfam family "Bacterial large subunit ribosomal RNA", at positions 1 to 235 of the family's 2925-position model. Lineage: Bacteria; Pseudomonadati; Pseudomonadota; Gammaproteobacteria; Enterobacterales; Enterobacteriaceae. The record is from RNAcentral. RNAcentral also lists the same sequence under 1 other name.
GGGUUGUGAGGUUAAGCGACUAAGCGUACACGGUGGAUGCCCUGGCAGUCAGAGGCGAUGAAGGACGUGCUAAUCUGCGAUAAGCGUCGGUAAGGUGAUAUGAACCGUUAUAACCGGCGAUUUCCGAAUGGGGAAACCCAGUGUGAUUCGUCACACUAUCAUUAACUGAAUCCAUAGGUUAAUGAGGCGAACCGGGGGAACUGAAACAUCUAAGUACCCCGAGGAAAAGAAAUCAACCGAGAU